AUACGUAGGGGGCGAGCGUUGUCCGGAAUGAUUGGGCGUAAAGGGCGCGUAGGCGGCCCGGUAAGUCUGGAGUGAAAGUCCUGUUUUUAAGAUGGGAAUUGCUUUGGAUACUGUCGGGCUUGAGUGCAGGAGAGGUAAGUGGAAUUCCCAGUGUAGCGGUGAAAUGCGUAGAGAUUGGGAGGAACACCAGUGGCGAAGGCGACUUACUGGACUGUAACUGACGCUGCGGCGCGAAAGUGUGGGGAGCAAACAGGAUGAGAUACCCUGGUAGUCCACACUGUAAACGAGGAAUGCUAGGUGUAGGGGGUAUCGACCCCUUCUGUGCCGCAGGCAACACAAUAAGCAUUCCGCCUGGGGAGUACGGCCGCAAGGUUGAAACUCAAAUGAAUUGACGGGG
RNAcentral lists this ribosomal RNA (397 nucleotides) under uncultured bacterium. Its description in RNAcentral is "partial 16S ribosomal RNA". It matches the Rfam family "Bacterial small subunit ribosomal RNA", at positions 523 to 918 of the family's 1533-position model. The record is from RNAcentral.